AAGCGCUGGCAACCAGACUCGAGCGCGGUGUUCCCCCUGGCUUCUGCUAGGGUUACUUCACCGUGUCCGGGCCAUCAUCAGUUUUGGGGACCGGUCAAAGGCCCCGGGAAUGUAUCGUCUCCUUCGGGGGACGACUUAUAGCCCGGCGUGUCAUACCCUUCGGGGGGCUGAGGUACGCGCUUCUGCAAGGAUGCUGGCGUAAUGGU
RNAcentral lists this ribosomal RNA (206 nucleotides) under Chaetothyriales sp. RNAcentral describes it as "partial large subunit ribosomal RNA". The record is from RNAcentral. Lineage: Eukaryota; Fungi; Ascomycota; Eurotiomycetes; Chaetothyriales.